This is a small nuclear RNA of Mesocricetus auratus (golden hamster), 108 nucleotides long. The record is from Ensembl. Lineage: Eukaryota; Metazoa; Chordata; Mammalia; Rodentia; Cricetidae.
GUGUUCGCUUCAGCUUCACAUAUACUAAAAGAAUGAAUAAUAUAGAGGAGAUUAGCAUGGCCCCUCCAAGAGGAUGACACAAAAAUUCAUGAAGCAUUCCAUUUAAUA